UGCCCUGGGAAGGAAGGGGUUAUUCCAGCAGGAAGACCCAGGGCUCCGCUUGUUUCUUCAGCCAGCUUGAGAAAACAGGACUGGGCUGGCUUGGCAGGACCAGGAGGGCCAGCAGCACCUGCCCGUGGGAGGGCUCACAGGAAGGCUGGAGAAGCAACCCACACCAGAAUGGUGUGGCCACAGCACCAGCAAAUCUCUGGAGGAAAACUGCCAAACUAGGCUCCAGGUCCGGGACCCAGCUGUGACCUUGAGGACACACGAAGUCCACAGGUCCGACGGGUCCACAGGUCCGACAGCCAAGGACUGUAGUGACCCGAGCGCUAGAUCCAGAGGUGGGACAGCUCCCGCACCGCGCGCGCAGGGGGAGCAAGGGAUGCCGCCUAAGGAGGUAGACAGAGGAAGGCGGCGGACAGACAGACACGUUCCUAAAACCAACCAACGCACGCGGAGCUUCGAGCAGCAAGGACCAGGCCUGGAACAAAACCGAGGGUGGGACC
Marmota flaviventris (yellow-bellied marmot) is the source of this 497-nucleotide long non-coding RNA. RefSeq lists it as uncharacterized. The record is from RefSeq and is a predicted model, not a curated record. Lineage: Eukaryota; Metazoa; Chordata; Mammalia; Rodentia; Sciuridae.